This 448-nucleotide ribosomal RNA is filed under the name uncultured bacterium. RNAcentral's name for it is "bacterial SSU rRNA". It matches the Rfam family "Bacterial small subunit ribosomal RNA", at positions 329 to 793 of the family's 1533-position model. The record is from RNAcentral.
UCCCAGACUCCUACGGGAGGCAGCAGUGGGGGAUAUUGCACAAUGGGGGAAACCCUGAUGCAGCGACGCCGCGUGUGGGAAGACGGUCCUCUGGAUUGUAAACCACUGUCCCCAGGGACGAAGAUGACGGUACCUGGGGAGGAAGCUCCGGCUAACUACGUGCCAGCAGCCGCGGUAAUACGUAGGGGGCAAGCGUUAUCCGGAUUUACUGGGUGUAAAGGGAGCGUAGACGGUCCUGCAAGCCAGAUGUGAAAGCCCAGGGCUCAACCCCGGGACUGCAUUUGGAACUGUAAGGCUAGAGUGUCGGAGAGGCAGGCGGAAUUCCUAGUGUAGCGGUGAAAUGCGUAGAUAUUAGGGGGAACACCAGUGGCGAAGGCGGCUUACUGGACUGUAACUGACGUUGAGGCUCGAAAGCGUGGGGAGCAAACAGGAUUAGAUACCCUGGUAA